This 440-nucleotide ribosomal RNA is filed under the name uncultured bacterium. Its description in RNAcentral is "partial 16S ribosomal RNA". It matches the Rfam family "Bacterial small subunit ribosomal RNA", at positions 338 to 795 of the family's 1533-position model. The record is from RNAcentral.
CCUACGGGCGGCAGCAGUGGGGGAUAUUGCACAAUGGGGGAAACCCUGAUGCAGCGACGCCGCGUGUGGGAAGACGGUCCUCUGGAUUGUAAACCACUGUUCUCAGGGACGAAGAUGAUGGUACCUGGGGAGGAAGUUCCGGCUAACUACGUGCCAGCAGCCGCGGUAAGACGUAGGGAGCACGCGUUGUCCGGAAUUACUGGGUGUAAGGGGAGCGUAGGCGGGAUGGCAAGUUGGGUGUUAAAUCUACCGGCUCAACUGGGAGUCGCACUCAAAACUGCUAUUCUUGAGUGAAGUAGAGGCAGGCGGAAUUCCUAGUGUAGCGGUGAAAUGCGUAGAUAUUAGGAGGAACACCGGUGGCGAAGGCGGCCUGCUGGGCUUUUACUGACGCUGAGGCUCGAAAGUGUGGGGAGCAAACAGGAUUAGAUACCCGAGUAGUC